Molecule: unclassified non-coding RNA, 247 nt
Filed under: uncultured Melanogastraceae
Lineage: Eukaryota; Fungi; Basidiomycota; Agaricomycetes; Boletales; Melanogastraceae
Also listed under: 1 other name
Description: sequence contains ITS2
Source: RNAcentral
AAUUCUCAACCAUCCCUUUGAUUGAUUUCGAAGGGGUGGCUUGGAUUUUGGGAGUUGCCGGACGACCCUCUGGGACGGUCGGCUCUCCUUAAAAGCAUUAGCGAAAGGUGGCAAGCCCCUGCAUGCACGGCCUUCGACGUGAUAAUGAUCGUCGUGGCUGGAGUGCGAGAGAGGCAUACGUCUACCUUUGCUUCUAAACAUCGUACUGGGGACUUUGCUUCGGCGAACGAACCUUUACUUUCUGACG